Molecule: unclassified non-coding RNA, 355 nt
Filed under: Hevea brasiliensis (rubber tree)
Lineage: Eukaryota; Viridiplantae; Streptophyta; Magnoliopsida; Malpighiales; Euphorbiaceae
Source: RNAcentral
GAACUGGAUGACCUGGAAUGAGAUCCACUUUGUUUCCAAUGCAUAAUAAUAUCUCAAACUUCUGCAUAUCAGUUCGAGAUACCCAAUCCUGAAGUGCAACGNNNNNNNNNCUCAUGUCAAAGACCAUCACUAAGGCAGCCAGGCGGCUAUAAAUUGGGAGGGUCCUGACGGAGAAUUCGUCAUGAAGAUGAACCAUCCAUACAGAAACAUCAGCUGUGUAGUACUUUGUAUUGAUAGUCCACCCAUGGGCAAGUACUUCAGACGAUGAAUCAGAAGCAUCUUCAAAAUCCACUGAUAGUAAUCGGGACAGAAGAGUGCGUUUGCCCACGUUGGAGGAUCCGAUCAUGAAGAUGCC